UUACCCAAAGGGAUUUUCAAUAUGAAUGAAUCGUUAAAAUAUGAGAAGGAAACAUCUUAAAUUUUUAAGCUGUGUAGGUAAUGAGAAUAUAUUGGGUUUAUUUUUUUCAGCUACAUCUUGAAAAGAUGUUUUGUAUCUUUAAUUUAUUUACGUUAGCUUUAAGAGCCAUUGUCUGAUAUUAUCCAUAUUCAGAAUAUAUUUGCUCAAACCCAGUUUUCUUUUCAAUAGCAAAUUUUUAUGAUUUGUUUAUACAAAAUAAUUCAUAUGUCUUUAUGCAAAAGUAAUUAAUCAAACAAAAAGAGUUAGGAAGUUAACUUUUUAUUAUACAUGUAUAUUAGCACCUGUAUUUAUUUUGUAAACUUUUAUGUUAACCUUUAUUUAUUUGGAUCAGAAAUUAAAACUAAACGAUUUUCUUCUUCGUCUGCCUCAGUGUAAUAAGCGUUUUUAGCCCAUGCACAUAACUAGCUAAAUAAUAUUUUAUAGAGAUAUACUAGUUGGGUAUUUUUAUAAGAACAUUUUCAUUCCAGUAUAAAUUAUAAUAUGUAUAAAUGAUGUUAAAAUGCUUGUUCUUGAUUUUGUAAGGGAACUCUAAAUAAAUAGCAUUUCAGUUGUUAUAAACCAAUUUAUUGUUAUGCAAGUGUUUUUUGUUUUACAAUUUUAUAUUUAUUAUCGUUUUUUUAAAUUUCUAAUAGUGAAAUAUUCAUAAGUGAAUGAUAGAACAGUUAUUACUAUGAUAGAUGUGGGAGAAAAACAAAAAUAAAAUUGUACAUGUAGAGGUAUGAAAUAAAAAAU
Molecule: long non-coding RNA, 792 nt
Filed under: Mytilus galloprovincialis (Mediterranean mussel)
Lineage: Eukaryota; Metazoa; Mollusca; Bivalvia; Mytilida; Mytilidae
Source: RNAcentral